Molecule: ribosomal RNA, 454 nt
Filed under: uncultured bacterium
Lineage: Bacteria
Description: bacterial SSU rRNA
Rfam family: Bacterial small subunit ribosomal RNA
Source: RNAcentral
AACGAACGCUGGCGGCAGGCUUAACACAUGCAAGUCGAGCGCGGUCCUUCGGGACUGAGCGGCGGACGGGUGAGUAACGCGUGGGAACGUGCCCUUUGGUUCGGAAUAGCCCUGGGAAACUGGGAGUAAUGCCGAAUAAGCUCUUCGGAGGAAAGAUUUAUCGCCAAAGGAUCGGCCCGCGUUGGAUUAGGUAGUUGGUGGGGUAAUGGCCUACCAAGCCGACGAUCCAUAGCUGGUUUGAGAGGAUGAUCAGCCACACUGGGACUGAGACACGGCCCAGACUCCUACGGGAGGCAGCAGUGGGGAAUCUUGGACAAUGGGGGCAACCCUGAUCCAGCCAUGCCGCGUGAGCGAUGAAGGCCCUAGGGUUGUAAAGCUCUUUCAGCGGGGAAGAUAAUGACGGUACCCGCAGAAGAAGCCCCGGCUAACUCCGUGCCAGCAGCCGCGGUAAAAC